Molecule: ribosomal RNA, 425 nt
Filed under: uncultured bacterium
Lineage: Bacteria
Description: partial 16S ribosomal RNA
Rfam family: Bacterial small subunit ribosomal RNA
Source: RNAcentral
GUGGGGAAUAUUGGGCAAUGGGCGAAAGCCUGACCCAGCAACGCCGCGUGAAGGAAGAAGGUUUUCGGAUCGUAAACUUCUAUCCUUGGUGAAGAUAAUGACGGUAGCCAAGAAGGAAGCCCCGGCUAACUACGUGCCAGCAGCCGCGGUAAUACGUAGGGGGCAAGCGUUGUCCGGAAUGAUUGGGCGUAAGGGGCGCGUAGGCGGCCCGGUAAGUCUGAAGUGAAAGUCCUGCUUUUAAGGUGGGAAUUGCUUUGGAUACUGUCGGGCUUGAGUGCAGGAGAGGUAAGCGGAAUUCCCGGUGUAGCGGUGAAAUGCGUAGAGAUCGGGAGGAACACCAGUGGCGAAGGCGGCUUACUGGACUGUAACUGACGCUGAGGCGCGAAAGUGUGGGGAGCAAACAGGAUUAGAAACCCGGGUAGUCC